This 1229-nucleotide ribosomal RNA is filed under the name Libelloides macaronius. RNAcentral describes it as "partial 28S ribosomal RNA". The stretch from base 552 to 1229 matches the Rfam family "Eukaryotic large subunit ribosomal RNA", at positions 665 to 1138 of the family's 3401-position model. The record is from RNAcentral. Lineage: Eukaryota; Metazoa; Arthropoda; Insecta; Neuroptera; Myrmeleontidae.
CAUUUACUUUUUAUCGUAUAUUAACCAACUUGUAUUUGUUAGUGACAAAAUUUAUUAUUAUUAUUUAUUUUGAAUUUUUUUUUUUAUUAUAAAUUAAUUAAUUUAUAAAAUUAUUGCGCUACUAUAUGUUGUGUAUAAUAACGAGGUAUGCACUUCUCAUCUAGUAGGACGUCGCAACCCGUUAAAUAUUGAUUUAUGAAAUAUUUUUGUGCAUUGUAUAUUAUUAUUUUAUUUUUUAUUUAUUUGUAUAAUAUAUGCCUAUAUUAUCUGAUCAAUUGUUUGACGGUAUUAAAUAAAUUACGUAAAAGAUUAAGUGUAUAUAAAAAUAAUAUUUUUAUUACACGUUCAUAUGCUAAAACGAGUAUAUAUGGGUUUUAUUUAUUAUUAAUUUUUUUUUUUUUUUUUAAAUGAAACAUAUAAUUUUAUUUGGUUUUUAUACCAAUAAAUUAUACUAUAUUACUGUCAGUUUAUAGUUUUUAAAAUUGAACAAUAAUCUUUUUGUUGGCGACGCUAUAGCUUUGGGUACUUUCAGGACCCGUCUUGAAACACGGACCAAGGAGUCUAGCAUGUGCGCAAGUCAUUGGGAAUAAAAUAUUUUUUCAUCGAAAUAUUAAUAAAUUUUAUGAAACCCAAAGGCAAAAUGAAAGUAAAAUAAUUUUUUGUUUUUUUUAAAUAAAAAAUUUGAGGGAGGAUAUAUUUUUAUUAUGUAUUAAAUAUCGCACUCCCAGGGCAUCUUAUACUAUUCUUAUAAAUAAUUUUAUAAUUUUUAUUAUGAAUAAAGGUGCACCUAGAGCGUACACGCUGGGACCCGAAAGAUGGUGAACUAUGCCUGGUCAGGACGAAGUCAGGGGAAACCCUGAUGGAGGUCCGUAGCGAUUCUGACGUGCAAAUCGAUCGUCGGAACUGGGUAUAGGGGCGAAAGACUAAUCGAACCAUCUAGUAGCUGGUUCCCUCCGAAGUUUCCCUCAGGAUAGCUGGCGUUCAUCAUUGAACGAGUCUCAUCCGGUAAAGCGAAUGAUUAGAGGCCUUGGGGCCGAAACGACCUCAACCUAUUCUCAAACUUUAAAUGGGUGAGAUCUCUAGCUUGCUUAAAAUCAUAUAUUAUAUUAUAAUUUUUUUUUAUUUUUUAUAUUUUUAUUUUAUAUAUAAAUAUAUGUGAAGCUAUGAGAAUAAUAUUAAUUUUCUUAAUAUAAAUAUUUAUGGAUCAGAAUGCCAAGUGGGCCACUUUU